UACGUAGGGGGCUAGCGUUAUCCGGAAUUACUGGGCGUAAAGGGUGCGUAGGUGGUUUCUUAGGUCAGAGGUGAAAGGCUACGGCUCAACCGUAGUAAGCCUUUGAAACUGGGGAACUUGAGUGCAGGAGAGGAGAGUGGAAUUCCUAGUGUAGCGGUGAAAUGCGUAGAUAUUAGGAGGAACACCGGUGGCGAAAGCGGCUCUCUGGCCUGUAACUGACACUGAGGCUCGAAAGCGUGGGGAGCAAACAGG
RNAcentral lists this ribosomal RNA (252 nucleotides) under uncultured bacterium. Its description in RNAcentral is "partial 16S ribosomal RNA". It matches the Rfam family "Bacterial small subunit ribosomal RNA", at positions 524 to 776 of the family's 1533-position model. The record is from RNAcentral.